This 253-nucleotide ribosomal RNA is filed under the name uncultured bacterium. Its description in RNAcentral is "partial 16S ribosomal RNA". It matches the Rfam family "Bacterial small subunit ribosomal RNA", at positions 524 to 776 of the family's 1533-position model. The record is from RNAcentral.
UACGUAGGGUGCGAGCGUUGUCCGGAAUCAUUGGGCGUAAAGCGCGUGUAGGCGGCCCGGUAAGUCCGCUGUGAAAGUCGGGGGCUCAACCCUCGAAUGCCGGUGGAUACUGUCGGGCUAGAGUGCGGAAGAGGCGAGUGGAAUUCCUGGUGUAGCGGUGAAAUGCGCAGAUAUCAGGAGGAACACCAAUUGCGAAGGCAGCUCGCUGGGACGCUACUGACGCUGAGACGCGAAAGCGUGGGGAGCAAACAGG